AGAGUUUGAUCCUGGCUCAGGACAAACGCUGGCGGCGUGCUUAACACAUGCAAGUCUAAGGAGAACGUUAUCUUCGGAUAACAAGUAAACUGGCGAACGGGUGAGUAACGCGUAGGCUACCUACCUUUAAGAUUGGGAUAACGUUUGGAAACGAACGCUAAUACCAAAUAAUAUUCUUUGAAUCAAAGGGGGCUUCGGCUCUUGCUUAAAGAUGGGCCUGCGUCUGAUUAGCUAGAUGGUAAGGUAAUGGCUUACCAUGGCAACGAUCAGUAGCUGGUUCGAGAGGAUGAUCAGCCACACUGGGACUGAGAUACGGCCCAGACUCCUUUGGGAGGCAGCAGUGGGGAAUUUUGCGCAAUGAGGGAAACCUUGACGCAGCAACGCCGCGUGAUCGAAGAAGCUUCUAGGAGUGUAAAGAUCUGUCAUAGGGGAAGAAAUGCUCAUAUUCUAACACAAUAUUUGCUUGACGGUACCCUAUAAGAAAGCUCCGGCUAACUAGGUGCCAGCAGCCGCGGUAAUACCUGGGGGGCAAGCGUUGUCCGGAUUCAUUGGGCGUAAAGGGCUCGUAGGUGGACUGACCAGUCAAAAUUGAAAUACAAUGGCUUAACCAUUGGCACGGUUUUGAUACUAUCAGUCUUGAGUGAAAUAGAGGUAAGCGGAAUUCCUAGUGUAGCGGUGAAAUGCGUAGAUAUUAGGAGGAACACCAAAGGCGAAGGCAGCUUACUGGAUUUAUACUGACACUGAGGAGCGAAAGCGUGGGUAGCAAACAGGAUUAGAGACCCUGGUAGUCCACGCCGUAAACGAUGAGCACUUGGUGGUGGAGGAUUCGACCCCUUCACUGUCGUAGCUAACGCGUUAAGUGCUCCGCCUGGGGACUACGACCGCAAGGUUGAAACUCAAAGAAAUUGACGGGGACCCGCACAAGCGGUGGAUUAUGUGGUUUAAUUCGAUGCAACGCGAAGAACCUUACCUGGAUUUGACAUAUUUUUGAAAGCUCUGUGAAAGCAGAGCCCUUUUUGCGCUUGCGUAAAAACAAUUAUACAGGUGAUGCAUGGCUGUCGUCAGCUCGUGUCGUGAGAUGUUCGGU
This 1087-nucleotide ribosomal RNA is filed under the name marine metagenome. RNAcentral's name for it is "bacterial SSU rRNA". It matches the Rfam family "Bacterial small subunit ribosomal RNA", at positions 8 to 1080 of the family's 1533-position model. The record is from RNAcentral.